GCCCCUGUCCCUUUCUCUGAAUCAUCUUGUAGUCUGUAAGCCUCUCAGGACAUCUCAGAGUUCUGGAGAAGGUGGAGGCAGCUCAGAAGGACUCUCCAUCAGGAGUUUGGGGCAGAGGUACCUACCGAGUGUGGCCAAAGGCAUUUCUCAGUAAGUCAUCAGAGGGGGCAGAAUUCCUUAUGAGGAAUCUAGCGCAGCUGGCAUCACGAACACAGUGGGCACAAGCAGAUGGGCAAAGAUAAGCGUGUGAUGCUGGGCUGAGUAUUAGAGGCUGACACUGUUAUUUCCAGCCUGAGUGCUUGGCCCUACUAUCAGGCUGUGGGCUCUGUAACCCAUGGCAACAAGAGAAGAGAAGCAGCUACCUCAGUUGUUCCAAGGCACGUUCCUGAACGCUUAUUGCAGGAUGCCAUGGCCAUUUCCUCAUUCUGUGCAGCUAUUUUUAUUAGGUGUGAACAAUGUGCACGCUGGUGAGGAAAGGGUUAACACUCAGCUGUGCUGUUGAUGUGCCCUUAGUCACAAUAUGUUUCCUUUGAUGCAAGGGUACAGUGUUUCAAAAGACAAUCACUGUAAUUCUAUGCAGAUUUUUCCUGAUGAAUGAAUAGGAAUUUUUCAAUUGAAUCUUUAAAUGCCUUAGAACAAUGUAAGAGAUGGAUUUAAUCCUUAAAAUUUUUUAUUAAAAGGCAUUUCAAAUUUGAAAAACAGGCAUUAUAUACAUAUCUGAUUUAUUACCAUAUAUGUGUUUUGAGUCAUAACGUUGUUGUAGAAGUUACAUAAUGCUUUCACAAAAAAAAUGAUAUGGUCUCUUUG
Molecule: non-coding RNA, 807 nt
Organism: Urocitellus parryii (Arctic ground squirrel)
Lineage: Eukaryota; Metazoa; Chordata; Mammalia; Rodentia; Sciuridae
Source: RefSeq, a predicted model, not a curated record